CGCGUAGGCGGAUUCUCAAGUCCGGGGUGAAAUCCUCCAGCUCAACUGGAGAACUGCCUCGGAUACUGGGUGUCUCGAGGGUGGUAGGGGUAUGCGGAACUAUCGGUGGAGCGGUGAAAUGCGUUGAUAUCGAUAGGAACUCCGGUGGCGAAGGCGGCAUACUGGACCACAUCUGACGCUGGGGCGCGAAAGCCAGGGAGCAACG
This 205-nucleotide ribosomal RNA is filed under the name uncultured bacterium. RNAcentral describes it as "partial 16S ribosomal RNA". It matches the Rfam family "Bacterial small subunit ribosomal RNA", at positions 568 to 773 of the family's 1533-position model. The record is from RNAcentral.